UACGUAGGCAGCGAGCGUUGUUCGGAGUUACUGGGCGUAAAGGGUGUGUAGGCGGUUCUUUUAAGUUUGGCGUGAAAUCUCCCGGCUCAACCGGGAGGGUGCGUCGAAUACUGAGGGACUAGAGUACGGGAGAGGAAAGUGGAAUUCCUGGUGUAGCGGUGAAAUGCGUAGAUAUCAGGAGGAACACCGGUGGUGUAGACGGCUUUCUGGACCGUAACUGACGCUGAGACACGAAAGCGUGGGUAGCAACAGG
Molecule: ribosomal RNA, 253 nt
Filed under: uncultured bacterium
Lineage: Bacteria
Description: partial 16S ribosomal RNA
Rfam family: Bacterial small subunit ribosomal RNA
Source: RNAcentral